UGCUCAUUAGCUCCACCAUCAGGUCAGUGGAGGGAAAUACAGGCCAGAAGCCUGUUAACGAUACCCAGUCUCCUUUACCUUGGAAGGGAAAGGAGAAUGGGAUAUGGAACCAAACAGGAAAUGAAGGCUAUUCCAUGCGAGAAAUUACCAGGAAACUGAAGAUCUCGUACAAUGCUCCGUACUACUCCCUUCAAAGAGCAGCGCAAACUGGCUCUAACCACAAUAGGAAGAGAAGAAGGAGGCCAUAACUGGAUCUGGGAAGUGAUGGACUGGAUGACAUGUAGGAGGAAGAUGUGGGUGGGACCAUGGAGGCGGAGCGGACGAAUGGAGGACAGACGGAGGAGAUGGAGAGGCGAACUGUCAUACCCCACACCACAGGAAAAAACAGCCUGUAACAAGUCCCAUCCAGGAAAUGAGGGUCAUCUGGGCACUUUAACAGUGUUAACAGUGACUCGGUGCUGCCUUCCUCCUCCUGUCUGGGAGAUCUCACCCUCUCACCGCUAUUCAAGGCAUAUGGAUGACAUGUCUCUGGCAUGACCUCCAGAAAGCUUUCAUUAUAAGACAGAAUACAAAUUGUUUAAAAA
This is a long non-coding RNA of Paramormyrops kingsleyae, 584 nucleotides long. RefSeq lists it as uncharacterized. NCBI's taxonomy places the organism in Eukaryota, Metazoa, Chordata, Actinopteri, Osteoglossiformes, Mormyridae. The record is from RefSeq and is a predicted model, not a curated record.